CUGGGUUCAGUCCCCAGCUCCGGGAAAAAAAAAAAAAAAAGAAAAUCCUGCUAUACCAGGUGACAACUUUUUGGGAUCAGUUCUCUACUAUCACUGUGAGUUCUGAAGAUCAAACUCAGUUUUCAGGCUCAUACAAGCAAGCACUUGAACACACUGGGCCACCUGGCCAGGCCCCAUGUCCAAUUUAAUGCAGUAGUGGAGAUGGGACACAGAGCAACAGAGUCUCCAGUCUUUUCUUUUCUCCCCUUUUCUUCUCAUUUCAUUGUUCUGAAACAGUCUUACUUGAUUUCCCUGGCUAGCACGAAAUGGGGACAAUCCUACCUUUUACCUUUGUCUCCCAAAUGCUGGGAUUAGCAGGUGUGCACCACCACAUCUAACCCAAUAUGCUCUCACGCUUGAAAGUCUUUUAGUUACUGUUUAGUUCAUUUAUAAUAUAUUUGUAAGAAUUUAAAUUUAAUUAGAAGAAAUAAAGUUGAGUUGAGUGGUGACGCAUGCCUUUAAUUCCAGCACUCAGGAGGCAGGUGUAGAAAGAUCUCCAAGUUCGAGGCUAGCCUGGUCUACAGAGUGAGUUCCAGGACAGCCAGGACUACACAGAGAAACCCUGUCUGAAAAAACCAAGCCAAACCAAACCAAACAAUUUUUUUUUUGUUUUUGGUUCUUUUUUUCGGAGCUGGGGACCGAACCCAGGGCCUUGCGCUUCCUAGGUAAGCGCUCUACCAUUGAGCUAAAUCCCCAGCCCCCAAACCAAACAAUUUUUGAUGUGGGAGGAUUGUCAUGGUUUGUAUAUGUUUGGCGCAGUGGCACUAUUAGGAAAUAUAAUCUUGUUGGAGUAGGCAUGUCACUGUGGACACAGGCUUUAAUACCCUUGUCCUAGCUGCCUGGAAGCCAGUAUUCUGCUAGCAGCCUUCAGAUGAAGAUGUAGAACUCCUGCACCAUGCCUUCCUGGAUGCUACCAUGUUCCCGCCUUGAUGAUAAUGGACUGAACCUUUGAACCCAUAAGCCAGUCCCAACUAAAUGUUGACCUUGUAAGAGUUGCCUGGUCAUGGUGUCUCACAUUCACUGCCAGCCGGAUCUACCUGAGCUGGGGACUGAACCCAGGGCCUUGUACUUGCUAGAAGAGGCUGUACAUCUCUAAGGACAAGAGUUACAAGCGGUUGUGAUUCUGUGUGGGUGCUGAGAAUUGAACCCAGAUAUAUUCCCAAAGAGCAGCCUGUACUGACCAGAGAGCUCUGGGCAGAAGUUGAUCAUCAGAAAAUAAAGGGCACUGGGCCAAAGAGCCAAAGGGCAGGCAAG
This is a non-coding RNA of Rattus norvegicus (Norway rat), 1293 nucleotides long. NCBI's taxonomy places the organism in Eukaryota, Metazoa, Chordata, Mammalia, Rodentia, Muridae. The record is from RefSeq and is a predicted model, not a curated record.